UACGUAGGGUGCGAGCGUUGUCCGGAAUUACUGGGCGUAAAGAGCUCGUAGGUGGUUUGUCGCGUUGUCCGUGAAAACUCACAACUCAAUUGUGGGCGUGCGACCAAUACUGGUCGACUAGAGUGCAGGAGAGGAAGGUGGAAUUCCCGGUGUAGUAGUGAAAUGCGUAGAUAUCGGGAGGAACACCAGUGGCGAAGGCGGCCUUCUGGCCUGCAACUGACGCUGUAGCUCGAAAGCGUGGGGAGCGAACCGG
RNAcentral lists this ribosomal RNA (253 nucleotides) under uncultured bacterium. RNAcentral's name for it is "partial 16S ribosomal RNA". It matches the Rfam family "Bacterial small subunit ribosomal RNA", at positions 524 to 776 of the family's 1533-position model. The record is from RNAcentral.